UCAAAAUACUCGAGUCACUGAGAUGAACCAAACGCCUCAGCGCUACCGAGCAUCAGCAGAUAGAAUGGUUUUGGAUAAUCCUCGCAUAUCAUCAGCACUCAGCAACGCGCAUACGUCACCCCUCUCUUCUCUUGCAGACUCAUGGACUAAACCAGCAGCAGCAGCAGCAGCACCACUGACAGCUCCGUCGCAUCCUACUGCAUUAACUGGAGCGACAAAACGGCACAGCCUUGACAUUUAGGAAAACGUCCAGCCUAAAACAGCUGCAGCCUGUUCUGUCCCAGGACUCGGACAUCAGUGGUGUACACAUGAUGCAAGAAAAGAGGCACACCCAUCUCUGCACUCUUUCUACAGCAGUCUUAUCUUGUUCUUUGUUACUGCACUGCUAUGUUGAAACGCGUUAGAUAUGACUGAUGUCGAGGUGACAUAUGAAGACUUCAUUGCUUCUGGAAGGACCGGCAGACGCAAUGCUGUACACGACAUCCUGGGAACCUCCUUCGGCCUGGACGCUAGCGGACUUUCCCAAACUCUGUCUGAGCUUAAUAUUAGCAAAGAAGAGGCAGGGAAUGAUGAAGAGAAAAGCCAGAGCUUGGCAAACUCCGAACCGAAGCAGGAAGAAGGCAAAGGGGAAGGUACAUAAAAGACUUCAGUGACAGAAUCAGGAAAUACCCCCUCUAGUGGCUGAUUUUAAAACUGAGCUUGGAGGGGUUGACACUGAAAAAAGCGGAGCAUCCCUCUCGCUUAAGGAUCCGGAUGGAGGAGAUUUUGCUUUGAGGAAGUUACUGUGAAAGGCUGGGCCUUAAGAAUCACAGCACUGCUGUUUUACGACAUGCUGAUUUAGCUGAUGUAGGUAUGAUUUUUACUUAGAAAUUCGCUCUAGUUGUUUGGUACUUAGAGCGACUGGUGGGAAUUUGGGUCAGAAGUAAUGACAUUAGAAUGGCGAAGAUGCUCCUUGGAGAUCUCAUGGAUCUUAUUUGGAACGACACCCACUGAACUCAUGAUUUCGGAUUCACCAAUUAACUGCCAGAGUAGCACAGCUAAUACACACUCAAUAUACAGUCAUUUUAUUGGUGUAGUGUUGUAAUAGUAAUAUCAGAUUUUGAUAUUAAAUUGUGCUGUCUUUGAUAUCACGUUGAUAUUCACAUAAUAUAAGUGCUGCACUUUUGUUAAACACUCACUGAAUUCAGAUAAAACUGUCUAUGAUGGUCUUGCAUGGCACUGCUCCUGAUAGAAUACCUGUGUGUAACUGUUCACAUCCCACAAAGGACUAAUCAUUUGUGAUCCGAACCUUUGCAGUGUGUGGUGAUGCUAAUUUCUUGACUGUUUUAUGAUGAAAAUUCUUCUUGUAUUAUGAAAUCUAGCGUGAUUUGAAGUCUCACUGACACUGCCUAUUAACCCUUUUGAAAAUCUGUUCAAUAGAGCUUGCCUUA
Sinocyclocheilus grahami is the source of this 1430-nucleotide RNA transcript. It is a transcript of the gene named cAMP-dependent protein kinase inhibitor alpha-like, with no coding region annotated. The record is from RefSeq and is a predicted model, not a curated record. NCBI's taxonomy places the organism in Eukaryota, Metazoa, Chordata, Actinopteri, Cypriniformes, Cyprinidae. The transcript has 4 exons.